UGAGCGUAUUUUUGAGCGUUCAGAGAAGGCAGCCCUCCACCAGAAAGGGGUUUUCCCAUCACACAGCAGAGCCAGCGCUCCUCGGGGGCACCCCGUGGCAAGACGAAGUCCCCACUGUCAUAUUCCUGAGGCAAAGUGAAACUGCUGAACAGGCGAGAUAGCUGGGUUUAUUUCUUCCCUCUGUGGCAGCACUGAAGAGUUAACCCCUACUGGUGUCAUGACAGUACUUCCACUCCUCCAAGCUGUUGCAUUUUAGUAUAAUUUUAAUACAAACACGCCCCGCUUUCCAAGUACUGUGGGGACACGAAGUGAAACGUGAGGGAAGGGUAAAAGCAAUCUUGAUCCAAAUCGCAGCUUAGUCACAAUUUUCCUAGGAAGGACUUUGCUUACUUUUCACAUGACUGAGUUGGCUGCGUGGGCUCAGCCCUGAGGAGGGUUGGGGGGACAGAAGGAAGAAGCUGAAGGAGCAGAAAGUUGUGAUGAAUAUGGCUGCACGUGUUCAAAUGACUCUGGAACUCUUGCAGAGUUCUGUAAGUGUGUCACACUGACCUGAGAAAAUCCAGCUGCACUCUCAUGAAUUAUUUCUAUACACAAGAAAAAAUAUAUAAAAUUGAGCAAAUCUACAAAUUUGCUAUAUCUGUAAACCUAUUCUUGCCAGCAGUAAGUCCAGGAGUACAUACAUGGCUAAAAGAGUUGGAGCCUGCCUGCAGUUCUGUUUGAAUCAAGAGCAGAGUUAAACUUUAUUUCUAUCAGAAUGGGACCUGACUGUAACUAACUGGGGGCAUGCAUAUGUUAGUAAACAGGUAUUUUAAUAUCAAGAGAGAUCCAAUUUUUUUGCAUUACUUUGAAAAAUUUUGCACAGUCUAGAAUUCAUUUUCACUUACAUUUGCAC
This 892-nucleotide long non-coding RNA is filed under the name Anser brachyrhynchus (Pink-footed goose). RNAcentral's name for it is "lncRNA (ENSABRG00000007298.1)". The record is from RNAcentral. Lineage: Eukaryota; Metazoa; Chordata; Aves; Anseriformes; Anatidae.